RNAcentral lists this ribosomal RNA (776 nucleotides) under uncultured Neocallimastigales. RNAcentral describes it as "partial large subunit ribosomal RNA". It matches the Rfam family "Eukaryotic large subunit ribosomal RNA", at positions 24 to 611 of the family's 3401-position model. Lineage: Eukaryota; Fungi; Neocallimastigomycota; Neocallimastigomycetes; Neocallimastigales. The record is from RNAcentral.
UACGACUACAUAUCAGGCAUAUCAAUAAGCGGAGGAAAAGGAACUAACUAGGAUUCCCUUAGUAACGGCGAGUGAAGCGGGAAGAGCCCAAAUUUGAAAUCUUCAAGGUUUUACCUUGACGAAUUGUAGUUUAAAGAAGUGUUUUCUGUUGGUGUUUUGGUGAAAGUUCUUUGGAAUAGGACAUCAUAGAGGGUGAGAAUCCCGUAUUUGACCAUUACUUCCAGCGUUGUGAUACACUUUCAAAGAGUCGGAUUGUUUGGGAAUGCAGUCCAAAAUGGGUGGUAAAUUUCAUCUAAAGCUAAAUAUUGGCGAGAGACCGAUAGCGAACAAGUACCGUGAGGGAAAGAUGAAAGGAACUUUGAAAAGAGAGUUAAACAGUACGUGAAAUUGUCAAAAGGGAAGCGUUUGACACCAGUGUUGUUUUCUCGAAAAUCAAUUAAAAAUAAAUUUGAUUUUGUGUUGUAUUGACCUUAAAAGCUUUCUUCACUUUUUUCAUGUUUAUUUUUAAUGCACUUUUCGUUUAACAAGUCAACAUCAGUUUCUUUUGUUGUAAAAAGGUCAUUGGAAGGUGGCUUUCUUUUCGGAGAAAGUGUUUAUAGCCUUUGACUCCUGCAAUCGGAGAGACUGAGGUCUGCAGCGUAGAUCCUUCUGGAUUAGAUUCAUUUGUGCUAAGUUAUAGCUUUUCAUAGACAACUUGUUGACUAUGUUUAGUCUUGUAGCUUACUCGCUUAUGCUAUUUUACCUACGCUUAGGAUGUUGAACGCGCACAGAGUCUC